CACGUAGUUAGCCGGCGCUUAUUCUUCAGGUACCGUCAUUAGCCCCAGAUAUUAGCCGGAGCCGUUUCUUCCCUGACAAAAGAGCUUUACAACCCGAAGGCCUUCUUCACUCACGCGGCAUUGCUGGAUCAGGCUUGCGCCCAUUGUCCAAAAUUCCCCACUGCUGCCUCCCGUAGGAGUCUGGACCGUGUCUCAGUUCCAGUGUGGCUGGUCGUCCUCUCAGACCAGCUACUGAUCGUCGCCUUGGUGAGCCUUUACCCCACAACUAGCUAAUCAGACAUCGGCCGCUCCAAAAGCAUGAGGUCCGAAGAUCCCCCACUUUCUUCCGUAGAACGUAUGCGGUAUUAGCGCAACUUUCGCUGCGUUACUCCCCCACUUCUGGGUACUUCCGUAUGUAUUACUCACCCGUUCGCCACUCGCCACCAGGCCGAACGCCCGUGCUCGCCGUUCGACUUGCUAUGUAGUAAGCAGUGCCGCCAGCGUACAAUCUGA
This 492-nucleotide ribosomal RNA is filed under the name uncultured Massilia sp. Its description in RNAcentral is "partial 16S ribosomal RNA". Lineage: Bacteria; Pseudomonadati; Pseudomonadota; Betaproteobacteria; Burkholderiales; Oxalobacteraceae. The record is from RNAcentral.